AAAAAACAAAAAAUAUUCACUUAUAUAAAUCCAACAAUAUGGGUUGGAUGUUUCUACCAAGCUGCCGAAAAUAGCUAUAGGACUAUAAGUGUCUGCUAAAAAUUA
Molecule: non-coding RNA, 105 nt
Filed under: Clostridium felsineum
Lineage: Bacteria; Bacillati; Bacillota; Clostridia; Eubacteriales; Clostridiaceae
Description: Clostridium roseum Guanine sequence
Rfam family: Purine riboswitch aptamer
About the family: Riboswitches are metabolite binding domains within certain messenger RNAs that serve as precision sensors for their corresponding targets. Allosteric rearrangement of mRNA structure is mediated by ligand binding, and this results in modulation of gene expression. A class of riboswitches that selectively recognises guanine and becomes saturated at concentrations as low as 5 nM.
Source: RNAcentral